Molecule: unclassified non-coding RNA, 667 nt
Filed under: Homarus americanus (American lobster)
Lineage: Eukaryota; Metazoa; Arthropoda; Malacostraca; Decapoda; Nephropidae
Description: uncharacterized LOC121869905, transcript variant X2
Source: RNAcentral
AGUUUUUUAGUUUGGUUGUGGCGGCCGGAGGGUGAGUUGGUCUGCUGCAGUCCCCGCCUCAUGGCCUUCAAGGGUAGGCUGUCGUGUGCCGUCUGAAUAACGUUGGUGAGCGUGGCGGUGGUGGUGUUGGUUUCCGUCACCCAGGCAGACCAACUCCUACAGCAGAAGGAGCAGACACACCAACAGCAGAAGGAUGAGGAACACCAACGGCUCUUUAUCACCGGCAGUAGUGAUUCUAUCAUUAUCGGCAAUUACUCCAUGUUCGCGGUGGCCAUGUUCUCCCUGCUGGUGGGGGCCGCCAUCCUCCUCUCUGUGGUGGUGAGGUCCGGCAGAGAAGGAGAGACAGACUACAUCACCCCCACCGUCUACGGCGUGCCAGUCCCCCGUUACGACGAGAUCGUCUCCAUGGUCAGUCGCUUCCUGGACACACCCGCCGAUCAGUAUGAGUAACAACAUCUGCCACGCCUGCGUCAGUAGUGUCGCGUCAUUCACUAUACUAGCAUGCUAAUGAGGUGGUUGUCAGUCUUAUGUCACCUUUUAUGUAUAAAUUUUACGUAAGACGUAAAUGUUCAGUGUGUAAAUAUAUAUUGCAAAGUUGUGUAAAUGUACUUAAUGUUGUUGUGUGAUAUAAAAUGUAUCCUAUUGUAAAUAAAAAUUAUGUAGCCAU